RNAcentral lists this ribosomal RNA (270 nucleotides) under uncultured bacterium. Its description in RNAcentral is "partial 16S ribosomal RNA". It matches the Rfam family "Bacterial small subunit ribosomal RNA", at positions 32 to 312 of the family's 1533-position model. The record is from RNAcentral.
AAUCAACGCUGGCGGCGUGCCUAACACAUGCAAGUCGAACGAGAAAGGGGAGCAAUCCCUGAGUAAAGUGGCGACCGGGUGAGUAACACGUGACUAACCUACCUUUUAGUGGGGGAUAACCUCGGGAAACCGAGGCUAAUACCGCAUAACAUCGCAAGAUCAAAGCAGCAGUGCGCUGGAAGAGGGGGUCGCGGCUGAUUAGCUAGUUGGCGGGGUAAUGGCCCACCAAGGCGAAGAUCGGUAUCCGGCCUGAGAGGGCGCACGGACACA